AGAGUUUGAUCCUGGCUCAGAGCGAACGCUGGCGGCAGGCCUAAAACAUGCAAGUCGAACGAAUCCUUCGGGGUUAGUGGCGGACGGGUGAGUAACACGUGGGAACGUGCCUUUUGGUUCGGAACAACUCAGGGAAACUUGAGCUAAUACCGAAUGUGCCCCCUUCUUUAGCGAGGAGGGUGGGAAAGAUUUAUCGCCAUUAGAGCGGCCCGCGUCUGAUUAGCUAGUUGGUGAGGUAAAGGCUCACCAAGGCUACGAUCAGUAGCUGGUCUGAGAGGAUGAUCAGCCACACUGGGACUGAGACACGGCCCAGACUCCUACGGGAGGCAGCAGUUAGGAAUCUUGCGCAAUGGGCGAAAGCCUGACGCAGCCAUGCCGCGUGAAUGAUGAAGGUCUUAGGAUUGUAAAAUUCUUCAGCGGG
This 421-nucleotide ribosomal RNA is filed under the name uncultured bacterium. RNAcentral describes it as "bacterial SSU rRNA". It matches the Rfam family "Bacterial small subunit ribosomal RNA", at positions 8 to 442 of the family's 1533-position model. The record is from RNAcentral.